RNAcentral lists this ribosomal RNA (421 nucleotides) under uncultured bacterium. Its description in RNAcentral is "bacterial SSU rRNA". It matches the Rfam family "Bacterial small subunit ribosomal RNA", at positions 518 to 952 of the family's 1533-position model. The record is from RNAcentral.
CGGUAAUACGUAGGGGGCAAGCGUUGUCCGGAUUUAUUGGGCGUAAAGGGUACGCAGGCGGUUAUGUAAGUCGGAUGUAAAAGACCGGGGCUCAACCCCGGCAAGCAUCUGAAACUGCAUGACUUGAGUUAAGGAGAGGAAAGUGGAAUUCCUAGUGUAGCGGUGGAAUGCGUAGAUAUUAGGAGGAAUACCCGUGGCGAAGGCGACUUUCUGGACCGUAACUGACACUGAGGCACGAAAGCGUGGGGAGCAAACAGGAUUAGAUACCCUGGUAGUCCACGCCGUAAACGAUGAGUACUAGGUGUCGGGCGAGAGCUCGGUGCCNAANUUAACACAUUAAGUACUCCGCCUGGGGAGUACGCUCGCAAGAGUAAACUCAAGGAAUUGACGGGACCCGCNAAGCACGGACAUGUGUUUAUUC